Molecule: transfer RNA, 84 nt
Filed under: Lentinula raphanica
Lineage: Eukaryota; Fungi; Basidiomycota; Agaricomycetes; Agaricales; Omphalotaceae
Description: tRNA-Phe
Rfam family: tRNA
About the family: Transfer RNA (tRNA) molecules are approximately 80 nucleotides in length.
Source: RNAcentral
GGGGGUAUAGCUCAAUUGGGAGAGCAGCAGACUGAAGUCGCAAGGCACAUCUGAAGGUCCCGCGUUCGAUCCGCGGUACCCCCA